CCUACGGGGUGCAGCAGUAGGGAAUCUUCCACAAUGGGCGAAAGCCUGAUGGAGCAACGCCGCGUGGGUGAAGAAGGUCUUCGGAUCGUAAAACCCUGUUGUUAGAGAAGAAAGUGCGUGAGCGUAACUGUUCACGUUUCGACGGUAUCUAACCAGAAAGCCACGGCUAACUACGUGCCAGCAGCCGCGGUAAUACGUAGGUGGCAAGCGUUAUCCGGAUUUAUUGGGCGUAAGGGGAACGCAGGCGGUCUUUUAAGUCUGAUGUGAAAGCCUUCGGCUUAACCGGAGUAGUGCAUGGGAAACUGGGAGACGUGAGUGCAGAAGAGGAGAGUGGAACUCCAGGGGUAGCGGUGAAAUGCGUAGAAAUAUGGAAGAACACCAGUGGCGAAAGCGGCUCUCUGGUCUGUAACGGACGCUGAGGUUCGAAAGCGUGGGUAGCAAACAGGAUUAGAUACCCGUGUAGUC
This 465-nucleotide ribosomal RNA is filed under the name uncultured bacterium. Its description in RNAcentral is "partial 16S ribosomal RNA". It matches the Rfam family "Bacterial small subunit ribosomal RNA", at positions 338 to 795 of the family's 1533-position model. The record is from RNAcentral.